This 397-nucleotide ribosomal RNA is filed under the name uncultured bacterium. RNAcentral's name for it is "partial 16S ribosomal RNA". It matches the Rfam family "Bacterial small subunit ribosomal RNA", at positions 523 to 918 of the family's 1533-position model. The record is from RNAcentral.
AUACGUAGGGGGCGAGCGUUGUCCGGAAUGAUUGGGCGUAAAGGGCGCGUAGGCGGCCCGGUAAGUCUGGAGUGAAAGUCCUGUUUUUAAGAUGGGAAUUGCUUUGGAUACUGUCGGGCUUGAGUGCAGGAGAGGUAAGUGGAAUUCCCAGUGUAGCGGUGAAAUGCGUAGAGAUUGGGAGGAACACCAGUGGCGAAGGCGACUUACUGGACUGUAACUGACGCUGAGGCGCGAAAGUGUGGGGAGCAAACAGGAUUAGAUACCCUGGUAGUCCACACUGUAAACGAUGAGUGCUAAGUGUUGGAGGGUUUCCGCCCGUCAGUGCUGCAGCUAACACAUUAAGCACUCCGCCUGGGGAGUACGGCCGCAAGGCUGAAACUCAAAUGAAUUGACGGGG